UACAGAGGGUGCGAACGUUGUUCGGAAUUACUGGGCGUAAAGCGCGUGUAGGCGGCAGCGCAAGUCGGGCGUGAAAUCCCACGGCUCAACCGUGGAAGUGCACUCGAAACUGCGCAGCUAGAGUCCUGGAGAGGAAGGUGGAAUGCUUGGUGUAGAGGUGAAAUUCGUAGAUAUCGGGAGGAACACCAGUGGCGAAGGCGGCGAUCUGGACGGAUACUGACGCUGAGGUGCGAAAGCGUGGGGAGCAAACAGG
Molecule: ribosomal RNA, 253 nt
Filed under: uncultured bacterium
Lineage: Bacteria
Description: partial 16S ribosomal RNA
Rfam family: Bacterial small subunit ribosomal RNA
Source: RNAcentral